Molecule: ribosomal RNA, 253 nt
Filed under: uncultured bacterium
Lineage: Bacteria
Description: partial 16S ribosomal RNA
Rfam family: Bacterial small subunit ribosomal RNA
Source: RNAcentral
UACGAAGGGGGCUAGCGUUGCUCGGAAUCACUGGGCGUAAAGCGCACGUAGGCGGAUUGUUAAGUCAGGGGUGAAAUCCUGGAGCUCAACUCCAGAACUGCCUUUGAUACUGGCGAUCUUGAGUCCGGGAGAGGUGAGUGGAACUGCGAGUGUAGAGGUGAAAUUCGUAGAUAUUCGCAAGAACACCAGUGGCGAAGGCGGCUCACUGGCCCGGUACUGACGCUGAGGCGCGAAAGCGUGGGGAGCAAACAGG